UAGGGAAUAUUGGAAAUGGACGAAAGUCUGAUCUAGCAACACCGCGUGUGCGAAGAAGGCCUUCGGGUUGUAAAGCACUUUUUGGAAGGAUUAGGAAGCAAUGUACUUCCAGAAUAAGUCUCGGCUAACUACGUGCCAGCAGCCGCGGUAACACGUAGGAGGCAAACGUUAUCCGGAUUUACUGGGCGUAAAGCGCGUGUAGGUGGUUCUGUAAGUAGGGCGUGAAAGCUCCCGGCUCAACUGGGAGAGGCCGUUCUAAACUGCAGAACUAGAGGAUGGUAGAGGGAGGUGGAAUUUCAGGUGUAGCGGUGGAAUGCGCAGAUAUCUGAAGGAACACCAGUGGCGAAAGCGGCCUCCUGGACCAUUCCUGACACUCAGACGCGAAAGCUAGGGUAGCAACCG
RNAcentral lists this ribosomal RNA (402 nucleotides) under uncultured prokaryote. Its description in RNAcentral is "bacterial SSU rRNA". It matches the Rfam family "Bacterial small subunit ribosomal RNA", at positions 355 to 774 of the family's 1533-position model. The record is from RNAcentral.